RNAcentral lists this ribosomal RNA (498 nucleotides) under uncultured bacterium. RNAcentral's name for it is "partial 16S ribosomal RNA". It matches the Rfam family "Bacterial small subunit ribosomal RNA", at positions 30 to 523 of the family's 1533-position model. The record is from RNAcentral.
AUUGAACGCUGGCGGCAUGCCUUACACAUGCAAGUCGAACGGUAACAGGUCUUCGGAUGCUGACGAGUGGCGAACGGGUGAGUAAUACAUCGGAACGUGCCUAGUAGUGGGGGAUAACUACUCGAAAGAGUGGCUAAUACCGCAUGAGAUCUACGGAUGAAAGCAGGGGAUCGCAAGACCUUGUGCUACUAGAGCGGCCGAUGGCAGAUUAGGUAGUUGGUGGGAUAAAAGCUUACCAAGCCGACGAUCUGUAGCUGGUCUGACAGGACGAUCAGCCACACUGGGACUGAGACACGGCCCAGACUCCUACGGGAGGCAGCAGUGGGGAAUUUUGGACAAUGGGCGAAAGCCUGAUCCAGCAAUGCCGCGUGCAGGAUGAAGGCCUUCGGGUUGUAAACUGCUUUUGUACGGAACGAAAAGCUCUGGGUUAAUACCCUGGGGUCAUGACGGUACCGUAAGAAUAAGCACCGGCUAACUACGCGCCAGCCGCCGCAGUAA